This 253-nucleotide ribosomal RNA is filed under the name uncultured bacterium. RNAcentral describes it as "partial 16S ribosomal RNA". It matches the Rfam family "Bacterial small subunit ribosomal RNA", at positions 524 to 776 of the family's 1533-position model. The record is from RNAcentral.
UACAGAGGUCCCAAGCGUUGUUCGGAUUCAUUGGGCGUAAAGGGUGCGUAGGCGGCGCGGUAAGUCGGGUGUGAAAUCUCGGAGCUUAACUCCGAAACUGCAUUCGAUACUGCCGUGCUUGAGGACUGGAGAGGAGACUGGAAUUUACGGUGUAGCGGUGAAAUGCGCAGAUAUCAGGAGGAACACCGGUGGCGAAGGCGGAUCUCUGGGCCGUAACUGACGCUGAGGAGCGAAAGCAUGGGGAGCGAACAGG